This 497-nucleotide ribosomal RNA is filed under the name uncultured bacterium. Its description in RNAcentral is "partial 16S ribosomal RNA". It matches the Rfam family "Bacterial small subunit ribosomal RNA", at positions 28 to 507 of the family's 1533-position model. The record is from RNAcentral.
GAUGAACGCUGGCGGCGUGCCUAAUACAUGCAAGUCGAGCGAACAGACGAGGAGCUUGCUCCUCUGACGUUAGCGGCGGACGGGUGAGUAACACGUGGAUAACCUACCUAUAAGACUGGGAUAACUUCGGGAAACCGGAGCUAAUACCGGAUAAUAUAUUGAACCGCAUGGUUCAAUAGUGAAAGACGGUUUUGCUGUCACUUAUAGAUGGAUCCGCGCCGCAUUAGCUAGUUGGUAAGGUAACGGCUUACCAAGGCAACGAUGCGUAGCCGACCUGAGAGGGGGAGCGGCCACAAUGGAACUGAAACAGGGACCAGACCCCUACGGGAGGAAGCAGAAGGGAACCUUCCGAAAGGGGCGAAAGCCUGAGGGAGCAGCGCCGCGUGAGGGAUGAGGGUGUUGGUAUAGUAAAACUCUGUUAUGAGGGAAAAACAAAGGUGAAAGAAACUAUGCACGUCUUGACGGUACCUAAUCAAAAAGCCACGGCUAACUACGUG